This 757-nucleotide ribosomal RNA is filed under the name Protopulvinaria sp. JC-2019. RNAcentral describes it as "partial large subunit ribosomal RNA". It matches the Rfam family "Eukaryotic large subunit ribosomal RNA", at positions 403 to 946 of the family's 3401-position model. Lineage: Eukaryota; Metazoa; Arthropoda; Insecta; Hemiptera; Coccidae. The record is from RNAcentral.
AACCGUUCGGGGGUAAACGGACAGAGCCCGUGAAUCCGGGCGAAUGGAAUUCAUAAUCGAUGGCGGUCGUCGUCGGUUCGAUAUUUCCACCGCCGACCCUCAACCGAGGCGGACGUCGCGAUUCGUUCGCCGUCGAUACCGAAAGGCGCGCCUCAAGUUCGUUGUCGCGGACGUUUCGGCGUGCGACGAUGGCGCGUUUCUCACGUUUCGACGCGGACGGUACGUUUGGCGCGGGUAUUCGAGGCGGUCUCGUCCGGCGUCUCGUACGUCGGACGGCACUCGCCUCGACGCCGGUCAGCGACGAAUCUUCGGGCCUCUUUCCGACCCGUCUUGAAACACGGACCAAGGAGUCUAGGGUGCGCGCGAGUCGCGGGGUAUCCGAGGAGUAAUGACCCUCGUCAAGAUACGAAACCCGUUCACGUACAUUGUACGAAGGCGUAAUGAAAGUGAAAGAGGGCGCCUCGCGCGUCCUCGGGGAAGACGGUGCGCUGCGAAUACGUUUCGCGAUCGUAUUGUAUCGCGACCAGCCACCCGCAUUCCCAGGGCGUCCCGCCUGUGCGACGGCGAUCGGGGCUCGCUCCGGUCGUCGACGAACUGGGGCGCACCUAUAGCGUGCACCCUGGUACCCGAAAGAUGGUGAACUAUGCCCGGCCAGGAUGAAGUCAGGGGAAACCCUGAUGGAGGUCCGCAGCGAUUCUGACGUGCAAAUCGAUCGUCUGAGCUGGGUAUAGGGGCGAAAGACUAAUCGAACCAUCUA